CCUGACUCAACAACUGAUCCAGCAAGAGCAGCUAUUUGACCUGUGUUUUUUGUUGCUGUUGUUUGUUUUUUUGCUCUAAUGCAGUAAAGGAAAUAUCGUUGCAGCCGCAAUCACCCAGAGUCAUAUUCACGAGGAGCAGAGACAGCUUCACGGGAGGCAGCAGAACAAGUUCAACAUCUCUCAACUCUCCUCCUCUCCUCAUCCAGCACAUCUGGUACCAAAUCCUCAACGGGUUCCCCGUUGUCAUCAGCCAAGCCGGGAGGAUACCAGGACAGGACCAGAACCCCUGGAGACAGACGGAAAGUCAUCAGUCUGAUCAUGGAAUGCUGACAGUCCUGUCCCCCAAAUGGGAGCGGGGGAAAAACGUUGGCUUUCAUUAACGUACAGGGAAAGCGCAGCAGCAGAUCUGUGGGACGCUGAGCUCUGGGUGUGGGGAGCUGUCCAGUGGAUGUGUGGUGCUGAAGUGGUUUGUUCCUCUCCAGCAGGUUUUUAAAAAAAAAAGAAUGUUAGAGGCCAGAAUAUUCUGUGCUGCAUCUCAGCACAAAAAGGCACGAACUUAACAAUGUUUUUCUUUCUAUUUCUUCCCACGAAAUCUCGGCAGUCCGUUGCACCUCUGAACUGUUACCUGCUGCAGAUGCUCCUAUCUGCUCCAUGUGGGACUCCAACACGUCCGGGUCCCUCGAGCUGUACGGAUUGAGUUCGGGGUAGAAACUGGA
This is a long non-coding RNA of Pseudoliparis swirei, 716 nucleotides long. RefSeq lists it as uncharacterized. The transcript is spliced from 3 exons. The record is from RefSeq and is a predicted model, not a curated record. NCBI's taxonomy places the organism in Eukaryota, Metazoa, Chordata, Actinopteri, Perciformes, Liparidae.